This is a non-coding RNA of Rhopilema esculentum, 4713 nucleotides long. NCBI's taxonomy places the organism in Eukaryota, Metazoa, Cnidaria, Scyphozoa, Rhizostomeae, Rhizostomatidae. The record is from RefSeq and is a predicted model, not a curated record.
UAUAUUUUGUCCUUUAUCAUCAGCUUUUGUAUCCUGAAUCUUGCCAGAGACAGUAUCCUGAUUUAUAUUUUGUCCUUUAUCAUCAGCUUUUGUAUCCUGAAUCUUGCCAGAGACAGUAUCCUGAUUUAUAUUUUGUCCUUUAUCAUCAGCUCUUGUAUCCUGAAUCUUGCCAGAGACAGUAUCCUGAUUUAUAUUUUGUCCUUUAUCAUCAGCUCUUGUAUCCUGAAUAUUGCCAGAGACAGUUUCCUGAUUUAUAUUUUGUCCUUUAUCAUCCACUCUUGUAUCCUGAAUCUUGCCAGAGACAGUAUCCUGAUUUAUAUUUUGUCCUUCAUCAUCAGCUUUUGUAUCCUGAAUCUUGCCAGAGACAGUAUCCUGAUUUAUAUUUUGUCCUUUAUCAUCAGCUCUUGUAUCCUGAAUCUUGCCAGAGACAGUUUCCUGAUUUAUAUUUUGUCCUUUAUCAUCAGCUCUUGUAUCCUGAAUCUUGCCAGAGACAGUAUCCUGAUUUAUAUUUUGUCCUUUAUCAUCAGCUUUUGUAUCCUGAAUACUGCUAGAGACAGUAUCCUGAUUUAUAUUUUUUCUUUUAUCAUCAGCUUUUGUAUCCUGAAUCUUGCCAGAGACAGUAUCCUGAUUUAUAUUUUGUCCUUUAUCAUCAGCUCUUGUAUCCUGAAUCUUGCCAGAGACCCCCCCCCCCCCCCCUCUUUGCGACUGUCACCCUACAGGCUGGAUCCGGCCCUGAACACAAGAAGUCAAUUUUGUGGAAGAAUCAAUUUAUAAUGCAGAGAGCCAAACAGACAUGUCAGGAACUGACAUUAUAAUUUUGCAGGCUGAAUGUCAUGCAUUGCAAAAAUAAUUGCAUAUGUUGAGGAAAGCAAAUGCUAAUCUUGCUUUUGGCACUGAAGCUUACUUUGACUCAGAUGAUAAAGUCUUAUUGUACUCAGGGCUUCCAAAUAAAACAUUACUAAAGACAUUGUUUCAGUUUUGUAAACCAGUGAUCACAGUUAAUGCUAAUUCAAACCUUUGCCAUUUCAAGAAAUGGUGCUUACCCUCUGCAGAUUGAGGCUCAACUUGAAUAUAAUACAGAUUUAAUGUGUCAUACACAACAGUCUCUAAAAUAUUCCACAAAUGGAUAGACAUUUUAUUUUGCAGACUGCAGAAGAUGAUAAAAUGGCCUGAACGAGAACAGCUUAUCGAAACAACACCCAUGUCUUCUUGCAAGAUUGUUUUGAAGUCUUCACACAUCGUCCAACAAAUCUCAAAGCACGUGCUCAAACUUGGUCAUCAUAUAAACAUCACAACACAGCUAAAUUUCUGAUAGGCAUCUGCCCACAAGAUGUAAUUUCCUUCAUUUCAAAUGCUCUGGGUGGCAGAGCCAGCGACAAAUACAUCACUGAACACUGUAAUUUGCUUGAUAAUCUACUGCCAGGAGAUUUUGUUUUAGCUGAUCGUGGCUUUGAUAAGUGAAUCAGUUGGAUUUUACUAUGCUGAAGUUAAAUUGCCUGCUUUUACGAGGGGAAAAAAGCAAUUAUCUGCAAUGGAUGUUGAGUACCGCAGGAGAAUUGCAUCCAUAAGAAUUCAUUUUGAACGUGUUAUAUACCUGCUUCGCAACAAAUAUAGCAUUUUACAAUCAACACUUCCACUAGAUUAUAUGAUUAAAUAACAGUUUAUGUACUAUUGACAAAAUUGCAACUGUUUGUGCAGCACUUUGCAACUGGUGUCCAUCUGUUAUACCAUUUGAUUGCCUUUUUCCUUGUAAAAUUGUUAAGUUCUUUUGACAAGGAACAGUCUGGACAAAACCAUUUUUUUCUUUUGGGUGCUUCUACGAGCUCUAAACAUUCCAUAUGAAACCAUUCAUAUGGGCAGUGUUCAUUGUCACAUGCAAUCAUGGUGCCCUUUUCUGGGCCUUCACAGUAACAAAAUGUGUCCCUGGGAGAUUCAUUAUCUUGUGACAGAGAUACCUUGGGUACAGGGGUUCUUGGUCUUUAGUAAAAUUUCCCAAGUAGUUCUACCAUGACUGAAUUGAAAAAUAUACAUCUAGAUUUCACAAUGCAUUCAUCAAUAAAUUUUGAUUCAAAUGUGAUUCUUUCCAGAAACCAAUCUUUUUCAGUCCAGAUAAAGAGGUCACAAUACCGCCUGUUUGUCCAAAACAUUUGAGCUUGAACUUGAUAGAAGUAUGGAUGUCCUCUUUAAUCUGGUCUCUUGUCCAUCAUCUGUUAAACAAAAUUUGCUUUGGGAACUUAUGGCUUCAAAAAAAAAUUGGUGCCUGGCCAGCCAUGAUUCUCCAAGGCCAGCCAUGCAGUUACAAUGUGCUGAUAAAAUACUUCACGGAUUCCUGCAUUUUAUGCACUGGGAUUUUAACCCCAGCCGAUCAAAAUUAUGUAGAUGGUAAAGCGCAAGCAAGAACCGAGCUUCGUAAGCUUCUUUUCGAGGUGUCUGAGUCGUCAGAUUACAUUUGCAAGAAGUGCCUCGCUUUGCUGAAAAAACGGAAAUCGCUACAAGAACACUUUCGCGAAAUUGACACAUGAUUAAUUGGUCUUUUAAACUGAAAUGCCCAACUAAGCGGCAAAAUAUUGACGACUCUCUCAACAUUUUUGACCAAGAAGUGGAAGUUCAAAAUAAUGAUCAGUUACAAAAUAUACUUUCUCUGUCACCUAUUCCUAAAGAAAGAAAAACGCCAGCCGUCAGUAAAAAGGAAGCAUCAGGCCCUGGGUCAUUUUUCACAAGUACACCAGUAAAGUCAAAGCUAGAAAAAAAAUCGAUGGAAGCGGUGAAAAGAAGGUUAAAGUAAAUGUUACUGUUGAAUGGCCUUCAAAAACGUUAUGCAAAAUGGCAAAAUGUUAUGCAGAGGUAGAGGAAACCAAAUUGCUCGUGCUGCUUGGAAGAGCCCUGCACUUCGCAAGCAUUUACUGUAAGAAGUGCUUAAAGAGAUAAAUAGAGAAGCCCUGCAACUAUGCAGAAAAUCAAAGCCAAGCUGCUUAAGAAAGACAAACCCAGAUGAUAUUGUGGGAUUCUCUUUCGAAAGUUUGAUGAAAGAGCUUGAUGAGUCUGCACCAGUUUUGAAAACCCUAUUAAUAGGAGCAUCAAUUUGUCCAGAAUAGCAAGGAAAUGAUGUUAACUGGAUAAAUGCUGUUGGGGUUGCUAAUUGUGUGCUCCUUCAAAAUCGUUCCCAAAACAUGAAUGCCUUUCAGCUAAUGCUGUCAAUACUUAUUCAGCAUUCUGGAUUCAUGGUAUGUUUACAACGUUAUUUAAUUUUAAACAAGUGAUGGUAUGAUUUUGUUUUGAAUUGUGUAAACAUCUAUUGGGUUUACAGCAGGUUCUAGCUAUUUCAAAGGUUAUUAGCUUUACUGUACAAGGAAAAGCAUUGAAUAUGGUAUUGGUACCAUCUCUCGCCAUAUUUGAACCCUUCAUAUUUAAACUAGAUUAAAACAAUUUUUUUAAUAAUUUUUCAGCAUUCUUUGUUAUUUUGAUUGUGUACUGUCAACUAUCUUCUUAGAUGAUGUCUUUUUGUAGGGUCUACAAGGAAGGCUUAAGUCACUACGCCUUGCACCACCCCAUACACAUUUUUAUCAUAAGCUGGAUCAGUUUGGUAAGGUUCAUGAUGCUUUUAUAAAAGAAACACUAAAAAAAGAAUGUGACAGAUUGCAGUGUCAAAAUAAAUCAAUAAAUCCAGAAGAAAAGGAGAGAGUGAUAGUCCCAAACAAGCACGCCACAACUCCUACCCCUCAUUAUCUGCCAGACAGUGGACGCAAAAUUGUUUUAGAUAAUAUUGAUUAUCACUAGCACACCCACUUAAUGACUGAAGAUUUCAAGGACCCAGACCUCCACUUUUGCAGCUUUUUGGACAGAAAAUAGAGUUCCAGGGAACCACUUGACAGACCUACAACCAUUAAGCAACCUCAUGAAAUUGGAGAAUGGCGUUUUCAUUCCAAACAAAAUGGAACAUCACGUGCAAAGGAAUGACUAUGUCCAACUGGUUUCAAGAUACAUUACAGAAGAGAUACCCUGUCUUGAAUUCCUACAAGAUGUAGUAACUUGGCAUAUAAGUCAUCGUUAUUCAUCAGAGAUGAAGCAAUAGACAAAGACAACAUUCCUUGGCAUUAUUUAUGAGAAUCAAAACAAAGAAGAUGGUAUGCAAAAAAUAAUUGAAAAGGUGCACCAGUAUGUCCCUUAUUUUUUGGAGAAUAAUGACAAAACGUUUUCUGAACAAGCUGUUGUUGGAGACCAGCUAACUGUUGAAAGAGGGAUAAACAGCCUGAUGGAUGUAGCUAAUGGUUUUGAAGCAGAAGAAAGAAGGGAAGGAUUGCAUUUUAAAAUUGCAGAUUUUCAUGGUGGCAUGAAAUUUCUAGAGGUAGUUUUCAAUUAUAUUGUAGAAAAAGGUGAUCCUUUAAUUUUAACCAAACUGAAUAACUUUUUCAUAAUAAAUCACUCUAGUUCUUAUCAAUUAGAUUGAAUGGUUUUGUGGUUAAUUUUAUGGUGGCCAACCCUUUAUAGAAACCUAAUCGUGAAUAUCUAGAGGAAUCAUUUUGGACUCCCAUUUUGAUUCCCCUGUUUAUGAAUUGUAUUGAAUUUGAUGAUGGUUUUAUAUUUAUAAUGCCCUAGAAUUCUGCUUAUGAAAGAAUUCUUAGUAGAUUUUUGUUGAAUAUCACUUUAUCUUAUCACAAUGUACCUUUGGAAAGGGAAACAGUCCUCACCUUCAAAUCCUUAAAAAAAAUUUGU